CUGCCCUCAAGCACGGCUUGUGUGUUGGGUGUGGUCCCCCCGGGGACCUGCCCGAAAGGCAGCGGCGACGUCCGUCUGGUCCUCGAGCGUAUGGGGCUCUGUCACUCGCUCGGGAAGGACCUGCGGGAGUUGGUCACCACCACAUUUUACCAC
RNAcentral lists this unclassified non-coding RNA (153 nucleotides) under uncultured Talaromyces. Its description in RNAcentral is "sequence contains ITS2". The record is from RNAcentral. Lineage: Eukaryota; Fungi; Ascomycota; Eurotiomycetes; Eurotiales; Trichocomaceae.